CGGUGGGCCCUUCACCUGCUCCGGGUCUUCGGCAGGACUUUGGCAGCGGGUCCUUCAGUGCUGCUGAAGACAUGGAGCAAGUGAAGGACCCGCUGCCGCCGAAGACUCGGAGCGCCGCCCGGUGAGUGGAAGCGCCGCAGUGGGUGGCACCCUUUUUUAUGUCUGCUCCCCUGCUUUGCCCCAGGCCCCCUGAAUCCUCUGGGCGGCCCUGGCAGUUGGUGUCAUUUUGGGGGGGUUAAACUAAUGUUUACAACAAACCAAACUGAAGUGAGUGUAAUGUAGGUGAAAGGUGCUGGCCUGGAGCCCUAGAUACUGAGUUCUCUGUGCAGGGGCAGAGUAGGACAAGCAGCCUCCUUGUGGUCCUCCUCCAGGAGUCAAAGGGGAGUGUGCUCUCCAGUCAGCCCAUUGCACAUGAGAGCUGUAGCACAUGGAGGAUGUUCCUCCCAGACUACCAACUGCAUGGCUGUUCCCAGUGGGCCCUGCUCGCUGCUGGCAUCGUGACUGGACCCUGGUCUGCCGUGUCCCUCUUCCUAAGUAAAGUAACAUGACAAACCAAAAAACUCUGAUUUGGACUCAAGUCCUGUUUCUCAUUUCCCCCAAGACCCAGAGGGGAGGGGCUCUGCCUGGGCCCAUAAAGCAUAUGUCAGUCCCAGCACUGUAAUGAGAGUUCUGUUUGACCUGGGUGAAGCCUAAAAAGUUAAAUAAUCAGACUGUUCAUAAGUGCUUGGCUUCCCCAGCCAAGCCUUUGGUGGGUCAUGGAGGCACAUCUCAGAGCCGAGCCCCCAGCCAUGCUACAGAACCACAUCAUCUCAGAGCCGAGCCCCCAGCCAUGUCGUCUCAGAGCCGAGCCCCUAGCCAUGUCGUCUCAGAGCCGAGCCCCUAGCCAUGCUACGGAAUAACAUUGUCUCAGAGCCGAGCCCCAAACGUGUAUGGAACUGCGUCAUCUCAGAGCUGAGCCCCCAGCCAUGUCAUCUGAGCCGAGCCCCAAGCCAUGUCGUCUCAGAGCCGAGCCCUCAGCCAUGCUAUGGAACCACGUCAUCUGAGAGUUGAACCCCAGCCAUGUCGCCUCUGAGCUGAGCCCCUGACGUGCUAUGGAACCACAUCAUCUCAGAGGCGAGCCCCCAGCCAUGCUAUGGAACCAUGUCGUCUCAGAGCCGAGCCCCCAGCCAUGUCGCCUCAGAGCCGAGCUCCUGACAUGCUACGGAAUCACAUCAUCUCAGAGCUGAACCCUUGAUGUGCUACGGAAUUACAUCAUCUCAGAGCCGAGCCCUCGACGUGCUACGGAAUCACAUCUUCUCAGAGCUGAGCCCCCAGCCAUGUCAUCUCAGAGCCGAGCCCCCGACGUGCUACGGAAUCACAUCUCAGAGCCGAGCCCGAGACGUGCUACAGAACGAUGUCAUCUGAGAGUUGAGCCCCAGCCAUGUCGUCUCAGAGCCGAGCCCGUGGGAAUGCCACUGGAGCCACAUCAUCUCAGAGCCUCACCUCGCCUGUGCUACCAGAGCCACGUCAUCUUGGGGCUCAUAAGCACUAAAAUUUAAUGAAAAGAAGAAAAGAACCCCCUGAAGCGAUAAGCAUCGGGACUGUCGGAAGUAGGAAAAGAGACCAGCACAUGGCAAUGAGGACAAACAGAUCAAAGAGGAAGAAAGACAGAAGGAAACACUCCACCCAAGCAGCAAGCUUCCCCACCGCAGUGGCACAGCACCCCUGAGUCCCACCGCGAAGGCCUGGAAAAGCAGGAGGGAGCAUCAGAUCAUGGGCGCCUGAGCCAGGCUCUGGAGCGGGGAGCAGCGCGUGGUGCCCAGCUGCAGCAGGGCAGUGCUUCAUUUGUCAGGCAGUGAAAAGUCUCCUCAGCUCCUGGGCCAGUG
Long non-coding RNA from Mauremys mutica (yellowpond turtle), 1865 nucleotides. RefSeq lists it as uncharacterized. Lineage: Eukaryota; Metazoa; Chordata; Testudines; Geoemydidae. The record is from RefSeq and is a predicted model, not a curated record. The transcript has 3 exons.